Molecule: long non-coding RNA, 1382 nt
Organism: Protopterus annectens (West African lungfish)
Lineage: Eukaryota; Metazoa; Chordata; Ceratodontiformes; Protopteridae
Exons: 2
Source: RefSeq, a predicted model, not a curated record
UUGUUAAAGAUCUGAAAGAUUUUGUUUAACAGUAUUUUAAGAGGAGGAGAAGUACCGACAUCCUGGCAGAAAGCGGUGGUGGCUCUAACACCUAAAGAGGAAGAUUCAGCUUCAUACAGGCCCAUUUCAAUCCUAAACAAGAGUUUAUGUCUAAAAAGGUUAAAAGAAUGGGAAAAGUGAUGCCAAAAUUGAUAAAUAUGGAUCAAUGUGAUUUUGUGGAGGGGAGGCAAACAUUUGACAAUAUUAACUGAACCUGAUGAUCCAGAAGGAAGCAGAAUGAAUGAAUGGGCCCUGGUUGUGCAAUGGAACUAUUCAGGUGCAGAAUAGAAGUCUGAAGCCUGGAAUAGUAUUGACAGGGCUUUGACCAGUGCUUCAGGUAUCCUCACACUGAUGAGCAAUGCAGACAUUACUUUGAUGACCUCUGGAGGAGGAAGCAGGAUACCCUCAACCAUUGGAUCAUGCAAUUUAGUACAGGGGACACCACACAGAUGUGUAAGUUUCAAUUUCAGUGAGUAAUUGUAAGAGUUAAAAGCUGAAUAUAGUCAAGACUGGUAUUCAUAAUGGUAUGGUAUUCUGUUCUGUUUUUUCCACAGUUGCUAUGGAGUAAGCCGCCAAUGUCAGGUCCCAUGCAGCGCAUUUGCUAAGGAUGAUAGAAGCAUGUGCACAGCAGGGUAGGCCUGUCCCACAGAAUCUUCCUGCCCUGAUCUGACUCAACCAAUGAAAUUGCUUACCACUACCAUGGUCCAUUCUAUGGUAAGCACUGUAUGUACAUCAUUGCCCAUCAACCAGGAAAUGGCUUUUAGACUUUCAGAAAAUGAACCGGAAGCACAAUGUACUGGGAAAGAGCACGAAGCUCUGCAAUGGUGGACAACAUCAAAAGCAUGAAUUAAGAAGUUCCAAGGAUGUUUUGUUCGCAAACUCUGGAUCAUUUUGUUAAUGAGAAAGAAAAAUAUGCAGCAGAAGGAGCAUGACCGAAGGAAAAAAAAACGUUUUAACAAAAAAGGUGACAGUUCUAAUUCUUUUCAUGAACCUCAAUCCUUUAAUAUUCACACACAAGCUAAGACUUCUUCUGAUUGGGCUUCACGGUUGUGAAACAAUAGUUAUUCAUUUCAUUAUUCUGGACAAACACAGACUGAUGUUAAUAAUUGUCAAGCUAAUAUUGACAUACUGCAUGAUUUAACACUGAAAUAUAAAACUUUACAGUUAGAUAAUUGUUAUUUAAGUGAAUAUUUAAAUGCAAAUAUGGUUCUAAAAGGUUUAAGGGUAUACAUGUACCUAAACAAUGCUAUUGAAGGCCCUGACGUCCACACAGAAUUAACUAUAUUUGAUAACUGUGGUUUUUCCAUUAUGAAGUCGUAUCAUUAAACAUAAUCAUAAGGAAA